CCUACGGGAGGCAGCAGUGGGGAAUAUUGGACAAUGGGGGGAACCCUGAUCCAGCCAUGCCGCGUGUGUGAAGAAGGCCCUCGGGUUGUAAAGCACUUUCAGUGAGGAAGAACGCCUGGUGGUUAAUACCCAUCAGGAAAGACAUCACUCACAGAAGAAGCACCGGCUAACUCCGGGCCAGCAGCCGCGGUAAUACGGAGGGUGCGAGCGUUAAUCGGAAUUACUGGGCGUAAAGCGCGCGUAGGUGGCUUGAUAAGCCGGUUGUGAAAGCCCCGGGCUCAACCUGGGAACGGCAUCCGGAACUGUCAAGCUAGAGUGCAGGAGAGGAAGGUAGAAUUCCCGGUGUAGCGGUGAAAUGCGUAGAGAUCGGGAGGAAUACCAGUGGCGAAGGCGGCCUUCUGGACUGACACUGACACUGAGGUGCGAAAGCGUGGGUAGCAAACAGGAUUAGAUACCCGGGUAGUC
RNAcentral lists this ribosomal RNA (465 nucleotides) under Vreelandella stevensii. RNAcentral's name for it is "partial 16S ribosomal RNA". It matches the Rfam family "Bacterial small subunit ribosomal RNA", at positions 338 to 795 of the family's 1533-position model. Lineage: Bacteria; Pseudomonadati; Pseudomonadota; Gammaproteobacteria; Oceanospirillales; Halomonadaceae. The record is from RNAcentral.